This is a non-coding RNA of Crepidotus variabilis, 75 nucleotides long. Lineage: Eukaryota; Fungi; Basidiomycota; Agaricomycetes; Agaricales; Crepidotaceae. The record is from the annotation of a GenBank genome assembly.
GGCACUGUAGUAUAGUGGAUAUCACGCGUCUGGCUGUAACUGGACGAGACCUCAGUUCAACUCCGGGCGGGGCCU